GCAUAUCAAUAAGCGGAGGAAAAGAAACCAACAGGGAUUGCCCUAGUAACGGCGAGUGAAGCGGCAACAGCUCAAAUUUGAAAUCUGGCUCUCUUUGGGGGUCCGAGUUGUAAUUUGCAGAGGAUGCUUUGGCAUUGGCGGCGUUCUAAGUUCCUUGGAACAGGACAUCACAGAGGGUGAGAAUCCCGUACGUGGUCGCCUGCCUUUGCCGUGUAAAGCUCCUUCGACGAGUCGAGUUGUUUGGGAAUGCAGCUCUAAAUGGGAGGUAAAUUUCUUCUAAAGCUAAAUACCGGCCAGAGACCGAUAGCGCACAAGUAGAGUGAUCGAAAGAUGAAAAGUACUUUGGAAAGAGAGUCAAAAAGCACGUGAAAUUGUUGAAAGGGAAGCGCUUGCAGCCAGACUUGCCCGCAGUUGCUCACCUAGGCUUUGGCCUGGGGCACUCUUCUGCGGGCAGGCCAGCAUCAGUUUGGGCGGUUGGAUAAAGGCCUCUGUCACGUAUCUCCCUCCGGGGUGACCUUAUAGGGGAGGCGUAAUGCAACCAGCCCGGACUGAGGUCCGCGCAUCUGCUAGGAUGCUGGCGUAAUGGCUGUAAGCGGCCCGUCUUGAAACACGGACCAAGGAGUCUAACAUCUAUGCGAGUGUUUGGGUGUCAAGCCCGGGCGCGCAAUGAAAGUGAACGGAGGUGGGAACCCUUUGGGUGCACCAUCGACCGAUCCUGAUGUCUUCGGAUGGAUUUGAGUAAGAGCAUAGCUGUUGGGACCCGAAAGAUGGUGAACUAUGCUUGAAUAGGGUGAAGCCAGAGGAAACUCUGGUGGAGGCUCGCAGCGGUUCUGACGUGCAAAUCGAUCGUCAAAUUUGGGCAUAGGGGCGAAAGACUAAUCGAACC
Molecule: ribosomal RNA, 886 nt
Filed under: Didymosphaeria variabile
Lineage: Eukaryota; Fungi; Ascomycota; Dothideomycetes; Pleosporales; Didymosphaeriaceae
Description: eukaryotic LSU rRNA
Rfam family: Eukaryotic large subunit ribosomal RNA
Source: RNAcentral